RNAcentral lists this ribosomal RNA (261 nucleotides) under uncultured bacterium. RNAcentral describes it as "partial 16S ribosomal RNA". It matches the Rfam family "Bacterial small subunit ribosomal RNA", at positions 793 to 1055 of the family's 1533-position model. The record is from RNAcentral.
GUCCACGCUGUAAACGAUGUUCACUCGCUGUUUGCGAUACACAGUAAGCGGCUGAGCGAAAGCAUUAAGUGAACCACCUGGGGAGUACGAUCGCAAGGUUGAAACUCAAAGGAAUUGACGGGGGCCCCGCACAAGCGGAGGAACAUGUGGUUUAAUUCGAUGAUACGCGAGGAACCUUACCUGGGCUUAAAUGUAGAUUGCAUAGGGUAGAAAUAUCCUUUCCCUUCGGGGCGUAUUUACAAGGUGCUGCAUGGUUGUCGU